CGCUUUAGAUAAAGAUUUGUGAGCUCGAACGUUUCUACAACCAUCGAAGUUUGAUAAUUUGGAUCUCUAUUCGAGCCAGAGUCCGUGUGUGCAGAUGGGUAUUUGUGUUCGCAAUUGCUGCUCAUCGUCAGCUAAUGCUUUUGCUGAAGAGUUGGCCGUUUGUAACUACCAAGUGUUCCUCAGCUUCAGAGGACCGGAUGUCCGCCGCAACUUCCUCGAGUGCUUCUCCGACCACCUCACAGGCUCGGGGUUUAUAGUAUUCACAGACCGCGAAGAGAUUGAGUAUGGUGAAAGGAUCGAUACCAAGAUCGUGGAAGCCAUCAAGCGUUCCGACGUCUGCAUCCCUAUCUUGUCCAACAACUUCGCCUCCAGCCCAGCUUGCCUGAUGGAAGUGGCCCAAAUGGUGGAGUCAGAAAAAACCAUUCUGCCCAUUUUCUACGGCGUCAAGCCGGGCGUUGUUUGCCGCCAGCAAGGAACAUAUGGAGAGUCCUUCGUCGAUCAAGAAAAGCGCAGUGAUACCGAGACAAUCAGUAAGUGGAAGACUUCUCUGGCAAAUGUUGCUGGGAUAAAGGGAUUCGAAUUGGAGGAUGUCAGCAGUGGGUAUCACGAGCUUCUAAGAAAUGUCGUUUCUAAACUUUGGCAACUCUUGGAGAUGGGUAAGGAAGACGUGACUGAAAAUUUAGUUGGAAUACACAGCAACGUGCAGGAGAUGAUGCGAAAGCUUGGUGUCCAUAACGUAGAUGGACAAGUUGCCGAGGGAAGAUGCGUGGUUGCAGUGUGUGGUCUUCCCGGAGUUGGCAAAACCACUCUCGCAAAGGUGGUAUACAACAAAAUCAGUCACCUCUUUGAUGCUUGCAGUUUCCUUAAAGACGUUCGGGCUGAGACUGCACAAAAAAAUUUGGUAUCUCUGCAGAAUAAGUUAAUUCGAGAUCUCAAGAGAGGAAAUUUCCAAGAAGUGAAAUUCUCCGAUCAAGGCACCAAAGUUAUAAAAUGCCUAUUCCGACGAAAAAGAGUUCUCAUUGUCUUGGAUGACGUGGACGACUUCGAACAAAUCAAACCGUUGGCCGAGAAUCUAACUUGGUUUGGCCCGGGAAGUAGGAUCAUCCUAACAACCCGAAGGAAAGAUGUUAUUAAGCAUUACAAGAUUCAAGAAAUCAAUGAACACGAGGUCUUACCUAUGAAUGAAAAUCAUGCUCUUGAACUUUUCUGUAAGCAUGCUUUUCGACCGGGUCAUCCCGAUGACUACGGUUCUCUGCCAACCGAAAUCAUUUCGGCCGUUGGGAAGCUUCCUUUUGCUAUUGAAAUUGUGGGGUCAUAUCUGAAUGGGAAGAGCCCAGAAAUAUGGAGAGAGACUUUGGAUAAAUUAAAAGGAGAGCUGGAAAAAGGAGUGGAACCAAUGUUGAAGGCAAGUUAUGAUCUUUUGGACGAAAACACAAAAGAAAUAUUCCUUGAUAUAGCAUGUUUCUUUAUAGGGGUUGAUAAGACAAUUCCCUAUUACAUGUGGGAAGCCCGUAAACGUUUCCCAAAUAGAGGUGUUCAUGAACUUCAAAAUAUGUCUUUUAUAAAAAUUAGCGAAGCAAAAGAAUUUUGGAUGCAUGACCAAUUAAAAAUCCUAGGAAGAGAACUUGUGAAGAAGGAAAAUCCUAAAAACCCCGGGAAGCGCAGUAGGCUGUGGGAUUACAAAGAUGUCCAAACAACAUUGCGGAAAAAGAAGUGUACUGAAAAUGUUGAAGCUCUCCGUGUAACCCCCAAUUAUAAUCAAGAUGAACCGGAUUGCAACUGUCUUCAUUAUGACGAUUUUCAUCAUCUAUCAAAUCUGAAGUUUCUUGAAUUGACUAAUGUUGGUAUUGAAGGAAAUCCUGAGAAUCUUCUACUUUCAAACCUAUUAUGGCUUGAUUGGCAUGGAUGCCCUGAGAAAUCUAAUUUGUUUGCAUUGGAUAUGAAGAAACUGGUAAUUCUCAACUUAUGUUCAAGCCGAGUCACGUUGAACUUGGAAGACUGGGAAAAACUGAUGCUGAAUGCUGGGAGUUUGAAAGUCUUGAACCUAAAAGGUUGUCCUUGGAUCACUGCAUCUCUGGGAUUCCCUAACUCAAUGUCCUUAGAAUGCUUGAUCCUGGAAGGUUGUUUGUUAGCAACUUCAACAAUUGAUGAAUCCAUUUCUAGAUUAGAGAAUCUAGUUUCCUUAAACAUGAAGCAUUGCUUAUCAGUUAAACAUUUGCCGCAAGCACUGUGUUCCCUGAAAGCAUUGAAAGAGCUCCUCAUUGAUGGAACUAAAAUUGAAAGACUUCAUUUCGAGGAAGGCUCUCUGCCAGCACUUGAAAUUCUCAGUGCUUGCGAAUGUGAAGUAUUGGGUGAAGUCACUGAGUCCAUUGGAUUGUUAAAGAAUCUUCAGAAGCUUACUUUAAGAAGUUGCAGACAGCUAAAAGGACUUCCACAUUUCAUAGGAAAGCUUGUUUGGCUAAGGCAAAUGGACCUGUCGUACACCUUAAUCAAUGAAUUGCCUUCUUCUGUCAAGGAUUUGAAAAAUCUUCAAGUGCUAAAGAUGGUUCAUACUUACCUAGAAGGAUUUCCUGAAGCCAUAAAAGAUCUUGAGAAGCUUCAAGAGUUGGAUUUCACCCACUGCGAAAGUUUGAGUGGAGAUUGCGACAUCACAGGAUUGUCUUCUUUGAGAAUCUUGAGAUUAAAAUGCACAAGAAUUUCUCGUGUGCUUGCCAGAGAUCAUAGGCAACUUAGUCUCUACAUCCUUGAGUUAGAUGAUGGGGUCGAUAAGCAGACAGUCUCAUAAUUUCACUCUAGCUCAGACUUGUUACUGACAAAAUGCAGAUGAUCCUGUGUAUGCCAUGCUUUAGUCUUGAAGGUCCAAAACUAAGAUUACAUAACUAUGGAUUUCAGAGCCUAUGAAUUCUGCAUCAGUGUGCAUGAAUAAUGUCAAGCUAUGUUUCUAAAGAGCUUAAAGUUGAAGCGUCUUUAGAAUGUUUGAAGUGUGAGUCAUUCAACCAUAUUUUGGAAAGAGAGAUCUAGCAUUUGGAGAGAAACCAUAUUUUGUUCCCGUUUCCUUUUUGUGCUUGAUGACGCUACUUUUCUUUUGACAGCAUGUAUCUGGACCUUCUUAUCGUAGUUUACUCCUUGUAUCUGUGAUCUUUGUAUGUCUCCAUCAUCUGUGGCCGUCCCAUGAUUGGCAGGUGUAACUGCAGUUGAUUUAUUUAUU
RNA transcript from Syzygium oleosum, 3208 nucleotides. It is a transcript of the gene named disease resistance protein RUN1-like, with no coding region annotated. The transcript has 5 exons. The record is from RefSeq and is a predicted model, not a curated record. Lineage: Eukaryota; Viridiplantae; Streptophyta; Magnoliopsida; Myrtales; Myrtaceae.